AUGUUAAUCGGGGGGGAUUUUAAUAUCCUUCGAUAUCGACAGGAAAAAAACAAUGAUCGGUUUGACACUAGGUGGCCCUUCCUCUUUAAUGCUGUUAUUAACAGCCUCGAUCUGAGGGAGAUCACGAUGUCUGGUCGUCAGUAUACCUGGGCCAAACUUCGAAAAAUUGGACCGGGUGCUAGUUACUACUGA
RNAcentral lists this ribosomal RNA (192 nucleotides) under Triticum aestivum (bread wheat). RNAcentral describes it as "partial small subunit ribosomal RNA". Lineage: Eukaryota; Viridiplantae; Streptophyta; Magnoliopsida; Poales; Poaceae. The record is from RNAcentral.